RNAcentral lists this ribosomal RNA (253 nucleotides) under uncultured bacterium. RNAcentral describes it as "partial 16S ribosomal RNA". It matches the Rfam family "Bacterial small subunit ribosomal RNA", at positions 524 to 776 of the family's 1533-position model. The record is from RNAcentral.
UACGAAGGGGGCUAGCGUUGCUCGGAAUUACUGGGCGUAAAGGGCUCGUAGGCGGUUUGUCGCGUCGGGAGUGAAAUCCACUGGCUUAACUGGUGGCUUGCUUUCGAUACGGGCAGACUGGAGGUAUGCAGGGGAGAACGGAAUUCCUGGUGUAGCGGUGAAAUGCGCAGAUAUCAGGAGGAACACCGGUGGCGAAGGCGGUUCUCUGGGCAUGUCCUGACGCUGAGGAGCGAAAGUGUGGGGAGCGAACAGG